CAAAAAUGUGAAUGCUUUGGAGUAACGAAGCGGCAUUGCUGAUAGGGCUUAAAGUGUUAAAACUGUAGUGCUACUGUUCAGAUCGUCUUUGCUUUGCAAGGUUAUGAUUCUUCUAAAAGAUGCCUGUCUGGAGAUAUAUUUAAAUGCUGAACCUUUGGAACGUUUUACAUAUCUUGACAAUUUCAUUGAAGGUCUGGUUUUUCAUAAGUUAAUAUAAACUCUGACAAAGAGAUAAUCGUUAUAAUGAAGUGUUAGUUCGUGGUUCACGAAUUCUUCUCAGCUGCUGACGCUUCCUACAAUUUCGGACAGGAUAUUUAAAAAAAACUAGUUGGUGGAAAUUACCCACAAAACCUAUUGUGAAAAACAAAUAUUGAAUAGCAAAGUAGAGUCUAAGCAAUAAAUUUCAAUUAGAAUUACACCAUUAGCGACCACGAAUAAAUGCUGGAAAGACGUCAAAUAAUAAAUUGGUCAAGAUUAUUCAA
Molecule: long non-coding RNA, 482 nt
Organism: Octopus bimaculoides (California two-spot octopus)
Lineage: Eukaryota; Metazoa; Mollusca; Cephalopoda; Octopoda; Octopodidae
Source: RefSeq, a predicted model, not a curated record